GUAGCUCAGUGGUACAGUACUUGCCUAAUGCGCAUGAGGCACUGAGUUCAAUCCUCAGC
Molecule: transfer RNA, 59 nt
Filed under: Ictidomys tridecemlineatus (thirteen-lined ground squirrel)
Lineage: Eukaryota; Metazoa; Chordata; Mammalia; Rodentia; Sciuridae
Description: Spermophilus tridecemlineatus (thirteen-lined ground squirrel) tRNA
Rfam family: tRNA
About the family: Transfer RNA (tRNA) molecules are approximately 80 nucleotides in length. Their secondary structure includes four short double-helical elements and three loops (D, anti-codon, and T loops).
Source: Rfam by way of RNAcentral